Molecule: small RNA, 192 nt
Filed under: Rickettsia prowazekii
Lineage: Bacteria; Pseudomonadati; Pseudomonadota; Alphaproteobacteria; Rickettsiales; Rickettsiaceae
Description: partial sR6 non-coding RNA
Source: RNAcentral
GUGAACAGCUUUAUUAUGUAGUGUUUUGAUCUUAUACAUAUGCAAUCUUUAAUUGCAGCCACUUUCUCUGUAUAGCUCUAUUAAAUGCUUCGUGUCCUAAAUGGACGUUAUGCAGUAUUUACUAUUUUUAUAUUUUCUGUAUUUUUUAGUGCAAAGGCACCUGCUAUUUAAUCUAUAUAAUAUAAUUCUAUU